RNAcentral lists this ribosomal RNA (2013 nucleotides) under Fidelibacterota bacterium. Its description in RNAcentral is "bacterial LSU rRNA". It matches the Rfam family "Bacterial large subunit ribosomal RNA", at positions 1 to 1999 of the family's 2925-position model. The record is from RNAcentral. Lineage: Bacteria; Pseudomonadati; Fidelibacterota.
UUGUAAGGUUCAAGUUAUUAUGGGUUUACGGGGGAUGCCUUGGCGUCAAAAGCCGAAGAAGGGCGUAGCAAGUCUGCGAUAAGCCUCGGUUUGCUGACUAGCAAGCUUAGCCGGGGAUGCCCGAAUAGGAAAACCUGAUCAUAUGAUCGAUCUUUUUUUUAAAAGAUAGGUAAGCAGGAGAACUGAAACAUCUAAGUAUCCUGAGGAAAAUAAAUCAAACGAGAUUCUCUUAGUAGCGGCGAGCGAAACGAGAAAAGCCUAAACCGUGUGGGAUUUAUCCUGUGCGGGGUUGUAGGGCACUUUAUAUGAAAGUUACAAAAUGUCAUUUUAGUAGAAUAGUCUGGAAAGUCUAACCAUAGAGGGUGAAAGUCCCGUAAAUGAAAAAAUGAUAUCUUUCUAAGUGUACCUGAGUACGACGGGACACGUGAAAUCUUGUCGGAAUCCGGGGGGACCACCCUCCAAGGCUAAAUACUUUUGACGACCGAUAGUGAACUAGUACCGUGAGGGAAAGGUGAAAAGAACCCCGAGAGGGGAGUGAAAUAGAACUGAAACCGUAAACUUACAAACCGUGGGAGCUUGUUUUAUAUGAGUGACCGCGUGCCUAUUGAAGAAUGAGCCAACGAGUUACUUGAUAUGGCAAGAUUAAGAAGUUUAGCUUUGAAGUCGAAGCGAAAGCAAGUCUGAAUAGGGCGUUUAGUCGUGUCAAGUAGACCCGAAACCGUGUGAGCUACCUAUGGCCAGGUUGAAGCGAGAGUAAAAUCUCGUGAAGGACCGAACCCGUGUACGCUGCAAAGUGCUGGGAUGAGCUGUGGGUAGAGGUAAAAUGCCAAACGAACACGGAGAUAGCUGGUUCUCCCCGAAAUGUAUUUAGGUACAGCGUUAUGAAUUACUUUAUGGAGGUAGAGCACUGGAUAGACUAGGGAGCGUAAGCUUACCAAACCUAACCAAACUCCGAAUACCAUAAAGAGUAUCAUGGCAGUGAGACCGUGGGGGAUAAGCUCCAUUGUCGAAAGGGAAACAGCCCAGAUCGCAGGUUAAGGUCCCAAAGUAUAUGCUAAGUGUUAAACGAAGUAGGGUCGCCCAGACAGCCAGGAGGUUGGCUUAGAAGCAGCCAUCCUUUAAAGAGUGCGUAAUAGCCCACUGGUCAAGGGGCCCCGCACGGAAAAUAAACGGGGCUUAAGCAUAUCACCGAGACCGCGGGAUCUAAUUUAUUAGAUCGGUAGGGGAGUGUCGUUAAAGCGUUGAAGCUGAGUUGUAAGACUUGGUGGAGUUUUAACAAGUAAGAAUGUUGGCAUGAGUAGCAAAAAUGCCGGUGAGAAUCCGGCAGGCCGAAAGUCUAAGGAUUCCUACGCAACGUUGAUCGGCGUAGGGUUAGUCGGUCCUAAGGCGUAUCCGAAAGGAGAAGUCGAUGGACAGCUGGUAAAUAUUCCAGCACCUUUAAAUAAUUGUUUGAAUCAAAGAGGUGACGCGAACAGAUAAGCAGAGCAUACGUAUUGGACAUCGUGUGUUUUUGACCGUAGGAGAGUAGAGAAGGUUAAAAUAUUUUCUACGUUUGAUCUGAGGAGAAAGAAAACCAUGAGGUUAGCCUCGUGGAAUUCUGCCGAUUCUAAGUCGCCCAGAAAAACCUCGUUGAUUAGAUUUUUUGAAGACCGUACCGCAAACCAACACAGGUAGACAGGGAUAAACGUCCCAAGGCCUUCGAGAGAACCAUCGUUAAGGAACUCGGCAAAUUGACCCCGUAACUUAGGGAGAAGGGGGACCUUUAGUGUAUAUGAGCUAGCCUCAAAAAGCACAUAAGGUAGCAUAAAAUAGGCUGAAGCGACUGUUUACCAAAAACACAGGUCCAUGCCAAAGCGAAAGCUGAUGUAUAUGGGCUGACGCCUGCCCAGUGCCGGUAGGUUAAGGAAAGGAGUGCAAGCUCUUGACUGAAGCCCCGGUGAACGGCGGCCGUAACUAUAACGGUCCUAAGGUAGCGAAGUCCCUUGUCGGGUAAGUUCCGACCCGCACGAAUGG